RNAcentral lists this transfer RNA (73 nucleotides) under Parcubacteria group bacterium GW2011_GWA2_38_13b. Its description in RNAcentral is "tRNA-Thr". It matches the Rfam family "tRNA". From Rfam's summary of the family: Transfer RNA (tRNA) molecules are approximately 80 nucleotides in length. The record is from RNAcentral.
GCCGUUGUAGCUCAGCCGGUAGAGCAACUCCAUGGUAAGGAGUAGGUCAUCGGUUCAAAUCCGAUCAACGGCU